GAGUUUGAUCAUGGCUCAGAUUGAACGCUGGCGGCAGGCCUAACACAUGCAAGUCGAGCGGUAGCACAAGAGAGCUUGCUCUCUGGGUGACGAGCGGCGGACGGGUGAGUAAUGUCUGGGAAACUGCCUGAUGGCGGGGGAUAACUAGUGGAAACGGUAGCUAAUACCGCAUAACGUCGCAAGACCAAAGUGGGGGACCUUCGGGCCUCACGCCAUCAGAUGUGCCCAGGUGGGAUUAGCUAGUAGGUGGGGUAACGGCUCACCUAGGCGACGAUCCCUAGCUGGUCUGAGAGGAUGACCAGCCACACUGGAACUGAGACACGGUCCAGACUCCUACGGGAGGCAGCAGUGGGGAAUAUUGCACAAUGGGCGCAAGCCUGAUGCAG
RNAcentral lists this ribosomal RNA (386 nucleotides) under Serratia symbiotica. RNAcentral describes it as "bacterial SSU rRNA". It matches the Rfam family "Bacterial small subunit ribosomal RNA", at positions 9 to 391 of the family's 1533-position model. Lineage: Bacteria; Pseudomonadati; Pseudomonadota; Gammaproteobacteria; Enterobacterales; Yersiniaceae. The record is from RNAcentral.